UUUGUGCAUAUCAAUAAGCGGAGGAAAAGAAACCAACAGGGUAUGYGCCUUAGUAGCGGCGAGUGAAGCGGCAAUAGCUCAAAUUUGAAAUCUGGCACCUUCGGUGUCCGAGUUGUAAUUUGAAGAAGGUAUCUUUGGUUUUGGCUCUUGUCUAUGUUCCUUGGAACAGGACGUCACAGAGGGUGAGAAUCCCGUGCGAUGAGAUGCCCAAUUCCAUGUAAAGUUCCUUCGACGAGUCGAGUUGUUUGGGAAUGCAGCUCUAAGUGGGUGGUAAAUUCCAUCUAAAGCUAAAUAUUGGCGAGAGACCGAUAGCGAACAAGUACUGUGAAGGAAAGAUGAAAAGAACUUUGAAAAGAGAGUGAAAAAGUACGUGAAAUUGUUGAAAGGGAAGGGCUUGAGGUCAGACUUGGUUUUACCAGGCCAGCAUCAGUUUGGAUGGCAGGAUAAUAGCUUAGGAAAGUGGCACUGCUUCGGUAGUGUGUUAUAGCCUGGGUUGAUACUGCCUGUCUAGACU
This 514-nucleotide ribosomal RNA is filed under the name Yamadazyma mexicana. RNAcentral describes it as "eukaryotic LSU rRNA". It matches the Rfam family "Eukaryotic large subunit ribosomal RNA", at positions 33 to 545 of the family's 3401-position model. Lineage: Eukaryota; Fungi; Ascomycota; Pichiomycetes; Serinales; Debaryomycetaceae. The record is from RNAcentral.